This 478-nucleotide long non-coding RNA is filed under the name Spirodela polyrhiza (greater duckweed). RNAcentral's name for it is "long non-coding RNA (SPOL_LNC001945)". The record is from RNAcentral. Lineage: Eukaryota; Viridiplantae; Streptophyta; Magnoliopsida; Alismatales; Araceae.
GCGAUGAUCGCCGGAAGCAGGUAGCCAUAGGCCCUGAACACCUGCGCACAUGAUCGAUGCUAACCACAUCAUUUCCUCUGUUUCGAUCUGUUCUUGAGAGAUCAUCAGUCACAAUCUCUGCCUCUCGAUUAUGAGACGACGGCGAUUGAUGAUACGAUUCAUGGAAGCCCAGCCGGGGGACUGAUGGAGAAAAAUACGUUUUCGCUGUUUCCCAGAUCACGACGGAGCAGGUGGAAGCAAGAUCACCGAGAAAAAACCCUAACUGAACCAAUGAGGGUGAAAAUUUUCCAGGCGGAUCGCUGCUCUGUUCGAGCUGUAAGAAGUUUCCAUAAAUCACGCAUGCUGUUCUGUUUAGGCAGAUCGGAUCAGAUGGUAAUACGAAAUCAGGGAAGAAGAUCGCGAGCGAAUUAUUCAUCCAUGGAGAUCGGGAGUUACGGCGGCGUGGGUUCCCGGAUCAAAAUCUGUUCAGAUAAGAGAU